CCUACGGGAGGCUGCAGUGGGGAAUAUUGGGCAAUGGAGGCAACUCUGACCCAGCAACGCCGCGUGAAUGAUGAAGGUCUUCGGAUUGUAAAGUUCUGUGAUGGGGGAGGAACACAAUGACGGUACCCGAAUAGCAAGCCACGGCUAACUACGUGCCAGCAGCAGCGGUAAUACGUAGGUGGCAAGCGUUAGCCGGAAUGACUGGGCGUAAAGGGUGCGUAGGUGGUGUAGUAAGUUGGCGGUGUAAUUCCGGGGCGCAACCUCGGCGCUACCGCCAAAACUAUUAGACUAGAGUGCAGGAGGGGUAAGUGGAAUUCCUAGUGUAGCGGUGGCAUGCGUAGAUAUUAGGAGGAACACCAGGGGCGAAGGCGACUUACUGGACUGUAUCUGACACUGAGGCACGAAAGCGUGGGGAGCAAACAGGAUUAGAUACCCGAGUAGUC
This 443-nucleotide ribosomal RNA is filed under the name uncultured bacterium. RNAcentral describes it as "partial 16S ribosomal RNA". It matches the Rfam family "Bacterial small subunit ribosomal RNA", at positions 338 to 795 of the family's 1533-position model. The record is from RNAcentral.